UUGUUCAGAGUUAAUUUAGAAGCAUAUAAAUGUAGCGAUUAAAAUUGUUAUAUCAAGUAGCUGUGUUACCUCUCUCCUUUGCAGAUUGAUCUGUGUUUGCUCGCAUCCAAAUGCUUUGACCCCGUAAGGUAAUUUGAAACGGCUUUAUAAACGAUCCAGAGAUCAAAGGCAUCCAACGCUCCUGUGACGUCAUGAUAUUGCACGCGUCAUAGAAUGUUUACAUUUUUUAAACAGUGAAGCUGCCAUGGUCACGUGUGCUAUACACGUGACUGUUCAGCGCUAUGCUUCAUUCAAAAGAAAACAAAUAAGUGAUUAAUCAGCCAUUUUUCUGAAUAUGAAAAAAAAGAAAUGCUGGGAAACUGACCUUACACCUAUGUCUUACACACGUUAGUCCGACAUGUGACGUGACAUGGUUUAAGCUGUCUAAAACAUACUUCUAAACCUAUAACAAGUUAAAUUGCGAUAUGAUAUCAGAAAGCAUGCGUUGAAUCUUUAUCAUUCAUAAUAGGGUCAGUGUUAGAGCCAUUUGUGUGUCCAGUAUGUAUAUACACUUAUUUUACCUCAUUUCUUGAGACAUUUUUUGCUUAGGAUUGAAUUUGCUCAGAGUUAAUUUAGAAGCAAAUUCAUUUAGCUAUUAAAACGUGUUAUAUCAAGUACUGUAGCUGUGUUACUUCUCUCCUUUGCAGAUUGAGCUGUGUUUUUCUAAACUUUCCUCACAUGCAAGUCCCUGUAAAGUGAAAUCAGAAAUACGUCUCCAAGCACGCUAAAUAUGUUGCAAGAAGAUAGCUUUAAACAUGUGAAAAGACUGACAACUAUGUUUGAUUGAUUUCCGAUUUUUGACCGUUUUUACGGUUUUCUCAAGUUUCAGUUCUAGGUUUUAAUGGGCGGAGCUAAGUCGGGGCCUAUCUACGUAGAUCGGCCCUUCAGUUCAAUGUUCAAGUGUAUCUUCCCUGGAUGUCAGGGACAGCGCGGUCUGUUUGUUCAAAUUCCCCGGAUGAAGAGAUGAAGAACAGGUGGAUUAACUUUGUGAAGCGGUACCACGAUGGAGAGCUGAUGUUCACUAAUAUCACCCGCCUCUGCAGUGCCCACUUUUCCCCCGACGGUUUUGUCAACUUGUUUAACCGCGUUUGGCUGGUUAGUGGUCCCGAAACGUCUGUCUCUCCCCCCUGACCGUCACCUGCCCGUCUCGGACACACCUGGCUCCUUCACGGACAGUGGAUGCCCGCAUGUGAGUGUACGUUUCCCUUUUUUGCUGCAUGUUAAUAGUUAAUCUAUAUCAAAGUUUUUGUUGGCAAGUGAAAUAAUAUAACGUGAUUAUAUUGUGUUGCGUAGCAUGAUUUUCAUAUCUAAUGUGGUCAAGUUUAUGAUUAUUAGGUGAAGGGAUGCCUCACAUUUCUUUGUUGGGAGAGAGAGAGAGAGGGAAUGUGUGGUGUAAGAUUAAAGUUAGCAUCCAGCUCCAAUCAAAUAUGAUAGAGAACUUUAAUCUGUGUGUAAGAUAAUAAUAAUAAUAAUCGGUCAUAUCAACAGGUUAUUUUGGGGGAAGAGCAACAUAAAUGACCGCGCUGCAAGAAGCCGGGUUUUUUUUCUAAAUCUCCGCUAGUAGCAUGGCUAUUGUUGAUGUUGUAAAUGAUGCCUUCUGUGUCUAAAUAACCAGACAGAGACGGCUUGAAACGGCGCGUCUGCGACCGCCACCGCGUCGGUGUCUGGCUGCCUUUACGCACGUCCCUGACCGCCUUUACGCGUUUCUCUGACCGAGUACUGCACGUAAUUUUACUGUAGUUUAGAGAUUAUUAUACGUGUCAGUAUUAUCAGUAACAGUAUAUUUCAUUAGCAAGCAAAUUAAACUAUUAUCAGUUUUCACAUAGUCUCCUCCAACAACAAGAGAGACAGGGUGCCAGUGAGACAACAUACAGAAAGUCAUCAGAGAGGACAGACCUCUCUGUGGGUAAGAGGACAGGGGCCGCACAAUAGUCUUGGAGAACACUAGGCAACAGAAAAACUACAGGUAUGUUGAGAUAUAAAGGUCUUUGUGAAUGUCUAUGACGUUAAGGCAAACCUUCUAGAUAUGCACUAUAUGUACAUCAAAGAAAACACUGCUUAAAUUAUAUUCUUCAAAGAUUUGAAUAAGUACAACACAUUAAUAGAAAUUAAUAUUCAUCAUGUUGAGUCUGUCACGGUUAUUUUAUGAGCAACAUGCUGAUGUUACUGCUGUGGUAAAAACCUAAAAAAAAUAGUGACUGAAUAAAUACAGUAUUUUACACAUUUUACUGACAGACAGUUUACUAAUGUUUUCAUGAGAGAGAAGACCAUACGGGCUGGACAAAAUCUUGCAACAUUGAUGGUCAAAGUGCAGCUUAAAAAUGUUUUCAAGCUACAGGAGCCAACAGGAGCGUUGCUGUGGGAAGCACAGCAUCCCAAGUUCUUCCGCUCUUCUCAUCUACUCCACUCAAGUGAAAACUGCGUCACCUGACAGCCCACCUACAAAACGCCCUCUCUUGGCGUUCCGUGACAACAGUUCCAAUUUUGCAGAUCCUGAUGACACCACCUACCUCCCCAGUAUUUCUGAACUUGUUGACACCAUCACUGAACAAGCACCAGCCAAGGCAGUGCAAUACAUGCUGAAGUACUUGGUGUAUGAGGACUGGCUCCUGGAGCUUUUUAAAAUCUGCCCCACCUGCUCCAGACUCUGUGACGUUGACACGUUUGUUAAAGGAACAUUCUUCUCUGUAACCCAGAAGUGCCUCUACACGAGUGUCUCUUACUCAAGACUCCAGAGUCCUGAUAACACCUGCUGAGAGUGAGAGGAGGGGAGAGGACACCAACUAGAGAACCCAGAACUAUGAGGAUGGGAGGAAGCCAAGUUGGUAACAUACAUGUGUGGGAAUGGAUUUUGGCAUCCAAUGAGCCUGUGACGUCAUAUUCCGAGCGUCAUACAAUGUUUACAUUUUUAAACAAGUUGCCAUGGUAACCGUGGACUGAAAAUAUCAAUGUGGCCACGUGUAUUGUAUUUAUUUAAAAGAAAACAACUGAGGGAUUAUUCAGCCAUUCUUCGUCUUGCCUUUUCGUGUCAUUCAACUUCAACAUUCAUGAGUAAAUUGCUCUUGUAGCACAGUAAAUAUUUCACUAAUUAUUAUUAUUUUCAAAUGAAUUAUGCACAUUGCCCACAGACACUUUAGUGAUGAAUUUGCUCAAAGUGGGAAUAACGCUACGGAAUUAUUUUGUGAUGCUCUCUUCUUGUUUUAAACUAGCGACUGCAAAAUAGGUUAGACUUGCUUCAAACGGUGUAAAACUUCAAUGGUAGUUUGUUGUAAGGAUGUAGAUGAGUUUAACCAUAAAAAAAGACAGUAAAUUAUGUUGAAAACGUCGGUAAUCAUUUGCAUGUUAUUCGACUCGCUGCAGGAGAGAGAGACCACAUCACUGUCCGUGUGUGUGACUUUUGUGUGCCCAUUGCGUUAUGAAUCGUGUAAAUUUCUUUUGUACUUUAAUGCACUUUUAUAGAUGCCUGCAUUUAAUAAAAAAUCUAAUUAUAUAGAAAUAGAUAUCCUUUGUGUAAUAUGUUUGUUCGUUUGUUCUAGUUUUGUGGGAGAAAUCCAUCUAAGCAGUACAUAUUUUGUUUUGGUUCUACUCCAAGUAUUUUAUAACACCGUAUGGUGUAUUUGUUUUCUUUAGUAUGCUUUUCUUCUUUAUUCUUUUUUACUUGUUUUUUGAUGCAUACAAAAAAAAAUGGGAAUGCUUCUGUGAUGGGGAGAAAGACUGUGACUUUUAUGUGCCCUUUUGCUGCAUUACAGAAUUAAAAUGUUGCAGAUCCUAAUUCGUGUGUUGGUGCCUUACUGAUACUUGUGAUGGAGUAUUUUUGGACCAAGGUAUUUCUACUUUGCAGCUUCUGUUAUAGCCUAUAUAUCAAUAUAAUUAAUGAUCCCGGAGUCGUAAUGUGUCAGUUUUGUUUUAAAGCUCCUCUGAAGAACUUUUAGUUUAUGAUGAUUAUGGUGACCCCUGUGGACUUAAAUCACUUUGCUAUGUUAUGUUCUAUACAUGUG
Non-coding RNA from Labrus bergylta (ballan wrasse), 4037 nucleotides. The record is from RefSeq and is a predicted model, not a curated record. Lineage: Eukaryota; Metazoa; Chordata; Actinopteri; Labriformes; Labridae.